GCGCUCUUAGCUCAGCUGGAUAGAGCGUUGGCCUCCGGAGCCAAAGGUCAGAGGUUCGAAUCCUCUAGGGCGCGCCA
RNAcentral lists this transfer RNA (77 nucleotides) under Gammaproteobacteria bacterium. RNAcentral describes it as "tRNA-Arg". It matches the Rfam family "tRNA". From Rfam's summary of the family: Transfer RNA (tRNA) molecules are approximately 80 nucleotides in length. Their secondary structure includes four short double-helical elements and three loops (D, anti-codon, and T loops). Further hydrogen bonds mediate the characteristic L-shaped molecular structure. tRNAs have two regions of fundamental functional importance: the anti-codon, which is responsible for specific mRNA codon recognition, and the 3' end, to which the tRNAs corresponding amino acid is attached (by aminoacyl-tRNA synthetases). tRNAs cope with the degeneracy of the genetic code in two manners: having more than one tRNA (with a specific anti-codon) for a particular amino acid; and 'wobble' base-pairing, i.e. permitting non-standard base-pairing at the 3rd anti-codon position. Lineage: Bacteria; Pseudomonadati; Pseudomonadota; Gammaproteobacteria. The record is from RNAcentral.